This 264-nucleotide ribosomal RNA is filed under the name uncultured bacterium. RNAcentral describes it as "partial 16S ribosomal RNA". The record is from RNAcentral.
CUGCUGCCUCCCGUAGGAGUUUGGGCCGUNUCUCAGUCCCAAUGUGGCCGUCCACCCUCUCAGGCCGGCUACUGAUCGUCGCCUUGGUGGGCCGUUACCCCGCCAACAAGCUAAUCAGACGCGGGUCCAUCUUACACCACUAAUGUUUUUCACUCUGUCCCAUGCGGGACUGUGCGCUUAUGCGGUAUUAGCACCUAUUUCUAAGUGUUAUCCCCCUGUGUAAGGCAGGUUACCCACGCGUUACUCACCCGUCCGCCACUUAAG